RNAcentral lists this long non-coding RNA (912 nucleotides) under Androctonus crassicauda. Lineage: Eukaryota; Metazoa; Arthropoda; Arachnida; Scorpiones; Buthidae. The record is from RNAcentral.
UAUUAAAAAAAAAAAAAAAAAAAAUUAUAAAAAUUUGCCGGUCUUUAGGACGGAAUUGUGAUUUGAAAGUGGUUACUGUAAUAUCAAUUUUGGGUAGGUCUCACUCUAUAAAGCGAAAUGAUUUAAUGAAGAACGACUGUUCCAAACCAAAUUCUGCCAAUCACGUUUAAUUUGAUCUUUAAAUGAAUGUCCCGGUUAAACAGAUGCCAAGUCGAACUUUCGUCAUAAACGGGGCAGGAUUUAUGUAUAAGCUAGACAAGUUAUAGCUUUAGGGCUUCGUGUUACAAGGGACCUCACGUUUCACUAAAAAAAAUAUUAAAUGCAUUUAUGGAGGGCUUCUUAAAUGUUGCAGCUUAACAGCCAUAAUAAGCACAUAUCCCGUCCUAAUUAAUUUUUAAUUAUUUAAUUAAAGUUGUAAUUCGUAGGAUGCGUGUUAAAAAUCAAAAGUUACAUUUCUACAUGUUGUAUAUCAACAAAAAAAUCAGUAUAUUUUUAAAGCAUUGUAAAAUAUAUGAUAUGCAAUAUAUAUAUGAGAGCGUGAUUGGAGGUUAUAUUUCAAGAACCACAAAAACUAUUUGGUAGCAAUAAACAUUUUUAUCUGCUUAGAACAGAACUUGAAAAUUCUUCGUAACUCUCCAGACUGAAGGAUUCCAUUCAGUUUGUUCUAUUUUAAAGACUCUCUUACUCUAAAUGCUCAAAAUCUCUUUAAAAUGUUCGAACGAAUUGUCGUAAAAACGAAAUACUGUACAAGUAAUAGGUGGUUAAUAUACGUUAACGCAGCAAAUGCAACAUAUAAUUUAUUUUCUUGUCACAUUUAUUAUCAUUUUUCUAUUCUUAAAGAAGUAGAACAACAGCAUGUUAAUUUACAAAAAUGCAUAUUUAAUUUAUAUGCAAAUAAUACAAUUUCAGAAC